CCUACGGGAGGCAGCAGUGAGGAAUAUUGGUCAAUGGACGCAAGUCUGAACCAGCCAUGCCGCGUGCAGGAAGACGGCUCUAUGAGUUGUAAACUGCUUUUGUACGAGGGUAAACGCAGAUACGCGUAUCUUUCUGAAAGUAUCGUACGAAUAAGGAUCGGCUAACUCCGUGCCAGCAGCCGCGGUAAUACGGAGGAUUCAAGCGUUAUCCGGAUUUAUUGGGUUUAAAGGGUGCGUAGGCGGUCGGAUAAGUUAGAGGUGAAAUCCCGAGGCUCAACUUCGGAAUUGCCUCUGAUACUGGUAGGCUUGAGAGUAGUUGCGGUAUGCGGAAUGUGUGGUGUAGCGGUGAAAUGCUUAGAGAUCAUACAGAACACCGAUUGCGAAGGCAGCUUACCAAGCUAUUUCUGACGUUGAGGCACGAAAGCGUGGGGAGCAAACAGGAUUAGAUACCCCUGUAGUC
RNAcentral lists this ribosomal RNA (460 nucleotides) under uncultured bacterium. Its description in RNAcentral is "partial 16S ribosomal RNA". It matches the Rfam family "Bacterial small subunit ribosomal RNA", at positions 338 to 795 of the family's 1533-position model. The record is from RNAcentral.